ACCCACCAAAGCCUAAAGGGCACAGCCUAAAGUCAUCUAACCCAGCAGCUCGACCUCGCAGUGGGGGCUGAGGAGAAGCUGCCAGGUAAUUUCCCCACGAUGGCUUGGGCAGGAUGGAUGCAACCAGUCCCCACCAAGCCUGCAAGUCCCAGCACCUCCAUGAGCCUCUCAGUAGGACUGGAGAGGGGACAAGAGCAGGCAGAGGGACCUGCCUGGGGACCAGCUGGAGAGCACGGCAUCUCUAGAGGACCAGGAUGCUGACAGGCAGUAACACAAAACUGAGGAGUUGUACUGAAAGGAAGUUGAAAGGGAAAGUUAGGAGUCAAAUGGUUUCAGGACUCACAGACUUUAUUUAAACAGUACCUGAAUGUUGGUAGAGUGAACAACAGAAUAAAGACUAUCAGAAGCAAAGUAUGGGAAUGAAGUGUUCAAAAAUGGAAUAUGGAAGAAACAUGCACACAGGUAAGCCAAUGUUAAAAGUCAAUAUAAAUCUAUUAAAAAACCUUCUGAAGAGCAAUUUUCUAAACCCCUGAAAGUUAGUAACAAAAGCUGCCUCAAACACUUCCAAAGCAAGUAGUUUUCCAGACAGCUGUUCAGACUGAUAGAUGAUCAAUAUGUGAUAGAUGAGCACUCAAGACACAUUAUCUCAUGAUAGCAAAGUCAAAUAAAUACUGAGCAUGCACCCCACACUGCAGCCUUUCCUGCCCAAGAACACAUCUGAAGAGAUACCUCAAACUGAAGCGUCAGUAGAAAAGGUUUUCAAACAAACUGAUAAAGUGAGUAAGACCAACCUGCAAGACCAGACAGCAUUCACCCAAGAGCUCUAUGGAAAUCCAAAGAGGAAAUUGCUGAAUGGUUAUCCAUGGUGCAGAGCCAGCCUGCUGUUUAAAUCAGCCUAUGCCCAAAGAAUAGAAGCAGUAAAGGUGAUGCAAAAUGAAAAAGUUUCCAGACAAGCGUGAUUCUGAGUAAGGCAAACUGAUAAACAUUCCACAAAAGAACAUUAGACACACCAGAGAGGAAGGUGUAAUGGGGAAGAGUCAAGUGUUGUAUCUGCAGGAGGAAGUCAUGUCUCAUAAAUCAAGUUCUUCGGGGGUGUCACUGAAGGGAUGGUGAUGUGAGUGAUACCAUUCACUUGGCUUUACAAAUGUGAGAACCUAUGAAAAAUUUCAGUGUAAGAGCUGCUCUGGAUGGUUUUCUAAAAAUGAGAACUUAGUGCUCUGUGGGAAUUAAAAAAGCAAAGAGAAAAUUAAAAACUAGUAGGAAAAGACUUCAGAGCAAUAUCACAAAUUUUUGCACACAGCUCCAACGUGACAAUCUCAUACAGGAUAGAGCAGAACUACAAAAAGGCAAGAAAGGGCAACAAGACCCCAGGGGAACAGUUUCCAGACAAGAAGAGCCAGAAUGAAGGCUAAAACCCUUCAUCUUGGGAGAAAAGAACAUCAGAGGGGAUCUGAGAGAGGCCUGUGAAGUCACGAGUUCCGUGCAGAAGGUGAACAGGAAAUAAUUGUGCACCAUUUCUCAAAACUUCAAGGGCCAGGCAGACACUAACUAAUGAAAUUAUGAGACAGCAAGUUAAGAACAGA
Molecule: long non-coding RNA, 1583 nt
Organism: Corvus hawaiiensis (hawaiian crow)
Lineage: Eukaryota; Metazoa; Chordata; Aves; Passeriformes; Corvidae
Exons: 2
Source: RefSeq, a predicted model, not a curated record